Molecule: ribosomal RNA, 253 nt
Filed under: uncultured bacterium
Lineage: Bacteria
Description: partial 16S ribosomal RNA
Rfam family: Bacterial small subunit ribosomal RNA
Source: RNAcentral
UACGGGGGGGGCAAGCGUUGUUCGGAAUUACUGGGCGUAAAGCGCGCGUAGGCGGUGAUCUUUGUCAGAGGUGAAAUCCCGAGGCUCAACUUCGGAAUUGCCUUUGAAACGGGAUCGCUUGAGUCCGAGAGAGGAUGGCGGAAUUCCUAGUGUAGAGGUGAAAUUCGUAGAUAUUAGGAAGAACACCGGUGGCGAAGGCGGCCAUCUGGCUCGGUACUGACGCUCAGGCGCGAAAGCGUGGGGAGCAAACAGG